RNAcentral lists this transfer RNA (74 nucleotides) under Candidatus Roizmanbacteria bacterium CG_4_9_14_0_2_um_filter_39_13. RNAcentral's name for it is "tRNA-Glu". It matches the Rfam family "tRNA". From Rfam's summary of the family: Transfer RNA (tRNA) molecules are approximately 80 nucleotides in length. Their secondary structure includes four short double-helical elements and three loops (D, anti-codon, and T loops). Lineage: Bacteria; Candidatus Roizmaniibacteriota. The record is from RNAcentral.
GGCCCCGUCGUCUAGCGGUUUAGGACGCCAGGUUCUCAUCCUGGAGAUCACGGGUUCGAAUCCCGUCGGGGUCA